Molecule: ribosomal RNA, 774 nt
Filed under: uncultured Paraglomeraceae
Lineage: Eukaryota; Fungi; Glomeromycota; Glomeromycetes; Paraglomerales
Description: SSU rRNA
Rfam family: Eukaryotic small subunit ribosomal RNA
Source: RNAcentral
GGCCUACCAUGGUGGUAACGGGUAACGGGGAAUUAGGGUUCGAUUCCGGAGAGGGAGCCUGAGAAACGGCUACCACAUCCAAGGAAGGCAGCAGGCGCGCAAAUUACCCAAUCCCGACACGGGGAGGUAGUGACAAUAAAUAACAACACAGGGCUCUUUCGGGUCUUGUUAUUGGAAUGAGUACGAUUUAAAUCCCCUAACGAGGAACAAUUGGAGGGCAAGUCUGGUGCCAGCAGCCGCGGUAAUUCCAGCUCCAAUAGCGUAUAUUAAAGUUGUUGCAGUUAAAAAGCUCGUAGUUGAAUUUCAGGCCUGGCUGGGCGGUCCGCCCUUCGGGUGAGUACUGCCUGUGGUCGGGUCCUACCUUCUGGCGAAGCGUCAUGGCCUUAACCGGCCGUGGCGGGGAACCAGGACUUUUACUGUGAAAAAAUUAGAGUGUUCAAAGCAGGCAAUCGCUUGGAAUCCCAUUAGCAUGGAAUAAUGGAAUAGGACAAUGGUUCUAUUUGUUGGUUUCUAGGACCGUUGUAAUGAUUAAUAGGGAUAGUUGGGGGCAUUAGUAUUCAAUUGUCAAAGGUGAAAUUCUUGGAUUUAUUGAAAGACUAACUACUGCGAAAGCAUUUGCCAAGGAUGUUUCCUCUUUAAUCAAGAACCAAAGUUAGGGGACGAAGACGAUCAGAUACCGUCGUAGUUUAACCAUAAACUAUGCCGACUAAGAAUCGGGCGAUGUUGACAAAAUGACGCGCUCGGCACCUCAUGGGAAACCAAAGUGUUUGGGUU